GUGUGUGUGUGUGUAUUAUAUUAGCAUAAUUAUCUUUAAGUCACAUAGUUCUCCAUGUAAAGUGUCACACAAGAAAAUCCUAAUGAAACAAGUCUCGUCACUGUGCAUUUGGGGAGAAAUAAACAUUGGAUUAGCGCUGAAAUGUGCUCAAAACAAGUAUUGGUUGAUCCUUCCGUAUCUCAGUCUAUAUUUCAAUUGAAUAAGGGUUGAAAAUAAGCAUGCAGUGAAGGAAAGAUCGAUACUAGCGCACAUUUUUCAUUCUUAUUAGAUGUCUUCAGCUAAGCAUAGUUUUUUUUACCGUAUCUUUGCCUAGAUUUGUAACAAUAAAAUUGUUUAUAGUCCAACUAAACUUUGGUAGUCAUCGGAAUAUUUGAGAUACACCAACAACUAUUCCAAGAGUUACUACGGUAAUAGGUAUAAUAAUGAAUAUUAUUAUUAUUAAUAAUAUUAUUAUUAUUAUUAUUAUUAUUUUAUAUAUAUAUAUAUAUAGCGCCAUAGGGUCACACAAAUUUCUAGGGACAAGAGUAUUCAAUCGUCUCUCUUCCAGUAUAUUACUGGGGUUUAUAUUUGGUGGGGUCGGGUGUCCUAUACACGGAUGGAGGAAAGAUAAAGUCGGCACUGGUGAGAUUUGAACACACAACUCAAAUGUAGCAAUUAAAUACCACUGGACACUUUUGUCAAACGCAAAAUCGUCAUCAGCCAGUGAAUACUACUAAUAAUAAUUAGUAUGUUUGCCUUAAGGGCAACGAUAACAAUAAUAGCAACAACCAACAGCAAAAAAAACAGCAACAACAAUUCUACUACUACUACUACUACUACUAAUAAUAAUAAUAAUAAUAAUAAUAAUAAUAAUAAUAAUAAUAAUAAUAAUAAUAAUAAUAACAAUAAUAAUAAUAAUAAUGAUAAUAAUCUCUUUAUUUUAUUUAUUAUUUAAUGAUGAUAAAUCAGGAAAGUAUUAGAUAGCUAAAAAGAAUAGAUAGCAUGGUAUUGUAGCAAGCCCGCCACGCAUACAAGACUCCAGGAGUUCCAACAAAACUUGAGAUAAACAGAAAUAAUAAUAAUCAACUGCUCCUGAUUUUAAGAUCGUUUUAUAUAAUCUAAUGACUGACAGUAUGAACACAACAACAAUUACAAUAAAUAAAGCGAUUUUAGUAAUUCCUUAAGAGAACGUGCUUUGAAGGAAUCUUCUAGAAUCCAGCUGGCAUUGAGAAGUAUGAACAAUGGCAAAACUCGAAUUGCGUAGACACAGAGUAAGACACUUUGUCGUUUUCGUUUUCUGAUUUUUGUUUGAUUUUUGGUAUUUUUUUUUAAUGCUUUAAGCAUAGAACGUAUGGGUAUGUAACGUGACUACGAUACACAAACUAGUUCCAUUUACCGAAAUUAAGAAAGAGUCUUUUAGUGAGAGUUCUGAAGAACGGUACGAAAUGAAGUAAGCUGGUCUUUCGAGUUUUGCCAUUGACUGAUACUUCCUCAACGUUCGUGUUGUCCAGUUGGAGACAACAACUCUUCCAGUCAAUGCUUAUUUCUGUCUGGCUUUCUCAGUCCCAGUUGUAAACGUCAUGCCCUGGCACCCUAAACAAAAGAUUUUCGAUGAAAGAACUACAGCACACCACACUGCUGAUAACAUUUUCAAAAUUCAGUAGUGCUUUCUUUUUUCCUUUAUUGAUAUUUUUUCUAUUCAUUUCCUUUGCUUCUUUUAAUUAUCUUUCUUGUGAUGCACUCUCGAAGGAAGGGAAAACACAAAAAGAGAAAAAUAUAUACUGUUUUCAUUGACAUAAUUCAAGUCAUUUGUCAGACGAUUUUUUCCUUUCUUCCUUAUUUUUUCAACCUGUUUCUUAGCAGAGCUAAUUUCAAUAGCUUUGUAGUGUAUAAAUAUAUAUGAACUGGCGGGGUGUGCCUUUCUCACACCGCCAACGAUUACUGGACAUUUUAGAAGUUGCAAGGAGAAACUCAGAAUGCCAUACAUACUUAUACGUACAUAUGUGUGUGUGUAUGUUGUGUGUGUGCGCGCGUGUGUGUGUGAUUUGACAAUUAUGGCAAAAUUGUGCAAAAUUUAUUCACUCCAUAAUGUAUUUUAAAGUGAAACAUUUGUAAAAGCAAUGACUUCCAAUGGUUUGUUUUGUUAUGUUUUUUUGUGUUUUUUUGGUGAUGGGGACAUUUUUGUUCUUAUUUAGUUUCUUUUUGUUGGGUUCUUUCUCUUUUUUGCAACCAAAUAUUUUAUCACAAAUUUGAGAAAUCAAGGCCGAUUAUGUAAAUUCUGUCAACAUAAAAUUUUAAACUAUAUAAAGCUAAAGAAUUAAAAUCCAAAAUGAAAAUAAUUGAAACAACGUAGCUGAAUCUCGUCAGUUUUCUUGUUUUCUGUUGUGGUUGUUGUUGUUUUUAUCAGCAACAAAUUUGCGAUUUUCAGAAAACAACAAAAAAAAAACCCAUCUUAUUAAAUAGCUUUGGAAGUCUUGUUUUUUUAAAUGUAUCGGACAUUAUUUUUCAAAUAAAAGAAUAUUUAAUUUCUGUGUGCGAAUAUGUUUGUGUAUGUGUUCAUGUAGCUAUGUUCCAUCUAUAUAUUGUUAGAUGUAUUAUUAUUAUUAUUAUUAUUGUUGUUGUUGUUGUUGUUGUUUUUGUUGUUGUUGUUAUCAUUAUCAUCAUUAUCAUCAUCAUUAAUUUUAUUAAACCUGGCAGUAGAUGUGUGUGUGCGUGUGUCUGUGGUUUUCUUAAUGUUUACGUGCAUCUUAUUUAUUCUACUAUAUUAUCUCCUGUAUAAGUUACAUGCAGAUAAGGCUGACUCGAUGCGUAUGAAUAGUUACAUAUAUGUUACAAUAUAUACCAUAUAUGUAUUCACUAUGUCAGUAUGUGUGUGUGUAUGUAUGUUUGUGUGUGAAUGUACCUAUUUUUCCAAGAUCAUGCUGAAUAAUUAAAUUCCCCUGUAUACCAUCCUUCUUAUGUGUUAAUGUGUGUUUAUGUAAAUAUGUCCUCAACCACCACUACCACUAUUUACUAAAUAACGUCAUCCUUGCGUCGUGUGUUAAAUUUAUAUGAGGGUAACAAAUUAUAUAUAUAUAAAUAUAUAUAUACAUCGAUUACGUACAUUUAUGAACUGAAAGUAAGAAAGUUAUGAAAUGAAAGAUGGCACCCAUAGCCAGCCCGGCAAAACAACAGUAAGAAAAUUUGUGGGGGGAGGUCAGUUGAGUUUUAUUGAAGACCUCAAGGUGACGAUGCUUAAAUCAGUUCUUUGUGGAAACUUUGGGAACGUACGGUUUUCUAUCACCUUGCUUCUAUAGUUCGUUUAUUGAUAUGCUAAUAAACACAUUGGAUACAUGUUCAAAUUCAUUAACAGUACCAUCAAUUGUAUCAAUAACAAUAGAAGCAUGUGUACAUUUGAUGGCAAUUUUAAAGAUAACUAAUACAAUUGCCUUUAGACAGUGAAUCAUAAAUCAAAGAUAAUAUCGCUGAUAACCAACAAACAGAUCCGGUACCAGUUGGUCUAUAGCAUUCUUAAUCAUUUACAGUGGCCGAUUGUACAAAGGUGUUGACUUUUGUAGCUGAAGCACUGUGAGUUCGUGUCUCGUCACUGGUGUUAUGUUAUACACUAGACAAGGCGUUAGAUAUAUUUUCGUCCAACUUUCAUAUGACAAAUGAGAACGAAGGACGAGAUACGAAGACGUCUAAGCGCCGAACUAACAGACAAUUAUCAAGUAUUUUGACAAUUUACAGAGCCAAAAUCGAUCUUUUUUUAUAAUAGAAAAUAAAUAUAAUUUAAAUAAACCUAAUUCCUUAUGUGUGGCGUGUGUGUGUGUAUGUGUGUAUGUGUGUGUGUGUGUGUGUGUGUGUGUGUGUGUGUGUGUGUGUGUGUGUGUGUGUGUGUAAUUAUAUACAUAUACGUGAGUGUACAUGAAUAUAUCAAUAGACUUAUUACUGUGUAUGUAUGCAUGUACAUUCGUUUAUAGGGAUGUAUAUACAGAUAUACAUAUGUGUGUGUGCAUGUGUGUGUGUGUAUUUUUUUUUCUGUGCUGAUCUUUACAAUAUAUAUAUAUUUAUUUCUAUAUAAAAAGAUAAAUCAUUCCAAAACAAUGACGUGGUUGUUUCAAAAACAGAAACUUCUUUUCUCCUUGCAACUUCAAUUUAAUCUUUUCAAUUCUUUGCUUUUUUAAUGUAUUUACGAUUUCAUAACUUAUCGAUUUGGUCGCUUAAGCCAACAGGUGUGAUCAAGCUUGAAGAAGGCUAACAUUUGCUUUUUCCCUCUCAUCUUAUAUAUAUGUACACAUACACACACACACACACACACACACACACACACACACACACACACAUGAAUACAUGUCUAUAUAUAUAUUCAUGUGUGUAUGCCUGUUUAGACAUUCCAAAGUACCUUUUUGGGUACAUAUGCAUAUAUAUAUAUGUAUAUACACACACAUGCAAUCAUACAUACUUAUAUAUAAUGUGUGUGUGUGUGUGUGGAUAAAUGUGUGUUUGAUUUUUUUUGUUCAUCAACUUGUAUUUACCACAUUAUCUAAACACAUACCAAAUCAAUCGUUUCGCUCACUAUUCACAAAUUCUUACGAAAUAUUCACAUUACAAACAUUUGUCAUCUAACAAUAACAACAACAAAAAUAUUUGUACUUUCAACAUUCACAAACAAUAAAAAUAGUUAAAAACGCUUCCCCUCUUCCAUAUACAAUUUACAUAAUGCAUAUUUCAAGUGAAAAUUUAUUCCUUUUCGGGUGUGAAUGUCUAUUUAUAGAACCUAUGAGAAGCCUGUGAGCAAACGUGCUACAUGUCUAUAUACAUAUAUAUAUAUAUAUAUAUAUAUGGUAUUUCAAGACUAAUAACCUGGUGUAGAAUUCAACAUAGAUAUGCAUCAGAACUGAACAGAGAGUCGAGUACAGGGCGGUUAUAAUAAAAUAAGAUGACAAACAAAUAAAAGAUUAAACGAUUAUCUUGUGAACGUCAUUAGCUUACAGCUGUUUCUGCUACAGAUGAAGUGGACUCUUAGUUGAGUGCCUCAAUAAUACUUCUUGCUUCAUUGAAGCGUCAAAUGUGAAGCAAUGUUACUCAGGCAUUCAACUGUUCUUUUCUCAUUCAUUAAUUUUUAUAUAUAUAUACAUAUAAUAGCUAUUAACGUUAUAUCCAUAUAUAUAUAUAUAUAUGCAUGUAUGUAUGUAUUUAUUAAUAUAUAUAUAUGUAUGUAUGUAUGUAUGUAUAUACUUACAUACAUAACUACCAACACGUGCGUAGGUAUAUACAUUAUACGCAUUAAUAGAUAUUUCGCAAGGAUCUGUGUGUGAGUAUCGCUCGCUUUAGAGAGGGAAGAUAUAUAUGUAUGCGUAAGUGGGUGGGCUGGGAAAAAAGUAAGUUGGUAUGUGAGUAGGUGAAUAGACAGAUUGGUAGGUAGGGAGGCGGAUUAGACCUCAUUUAUAAUUUUUAGUAUUUGAACCAUAUAUACAUUUUGGUAGAGGCAGGCACACUAGUAAACAUACGUACAUACAUCACCACAAAGAUAUACCUUAUAGAUAUAUAUAUGUAUGUAAGAAAAAACACACACGCCAAAUAUUCCUGAAGAUGAGACUGUGAAGGUCUGGAACCAUCGAAUAUGAAUUUAAGAACUUCGUGUUCCAAACUGUUUUAUCAUUUUUAGAAUAUAAAAUAAUAAAACAUUAACACAGUCAUGUAUUUAAUGAAACCUACUCACACACAGAUAUACAUAUAUAUAUAUAUGAGUUGUGUGUGUGAGUGUGUGCGUGCGUGCAUUUUUGUCAGGCGACAUGUUAUCCAUCCUUUCCUCUUAAAUGGCUAAAAUGCGCUUAAUAACGUUAGUGUAGGCUGAAAGUGUAAACAUAAUGAAGAUUCCCUGAAAUGUAGAUAAAUCUCCGUAUUGACAGUAAUAGUUCUAUUAGCUAGCUUAGUCUGUUCAGAUUAACUAAAUUGACCAGUUUUUAUAGAGAAUUAACCAAGGAAACUCUCUGUUGCUGUUGGCCUUGGUGGAAUUAAAGGCCAAAACUUCUUCAGAUUACAAUUUAAUAUCUUGGAAAAGAUGUGAGAGAUCGAAUGACAUCGUAUAAAAUAGGCAAGGCUUUAUGAAUGACGGUUUGGUUAUUGCCUCUGAUCAGAGGCCAACGCAAUGAAGGCUGACAUGAGCUAAGACAACAACAACAGCGUCAACCACAACAAUAAUAUAACUAAACGAAUUCACCAUUUCCUACAUAAUUACAUCCGUUAACUAAAGCGUAUUUUCGAUAUUGAAAGAGAAUAAUGUCUGGAUGUAUCUACGGAGCCUACAAACAGUUAAAAGAUAAUCUCAAAGUAAUCUCGAAACGGUAUUUUUCAUAAAAUAUGAAGAGAUGGCAACAAAUGUUCUGGGCUUUUUUUAGGCUCCUUCUCACUGUUAUCACUGAUGUAAUUGAUGUACAUUAUAAGCAGUAAUGGGUCAGUAUUGGCAGGAAAAGCAUAAGUGGAGAAGGCAUUCUAGGGGUUUGUGAUUUUAUUGGGGGACGGGAUGUCCUCAGAGCAGGGGUUGACAAGUUUGGAGGAAAUGUGUAUCAAGUAAGGGAAGGAAGCCGAAGUAGCGAGGAAAACACAGUAUCUCUAAUGGUGUUAUUAAAAUCGCUAUUGCUUAUGCAUCAAACUCAUUAGUUAAGUUACAAGAUUUUAUCCAAAGCGAAUUAAACUAAAAUGCAUCUUUAAGAGCCUCUCUAACACGAUUCUCUACAGGAAUCGAUGCAGUUGUGUUUGUUUCCUAUGAACUUUGAUUUUUCCAAAGUCCAUAAUGCAGAGCAGUUUAUGACAAUGCUUGUGUGCACACUACUAAACCUUCAUAUUGCACUAAAACUUUCUUGCACUUCAACAAGGGCAUACACGGCUUUAUAUAGUCAACAGUUUUUUAACAUGUUAUAUUUUACAGUAUACAUCACGUCAUACAGUACCAUGGUAUGACACGUAUUCUUGCAUUAAUAAUAUAGGUAUGUAU
RNAcentral lists this long non-coding RNA (6958 nucleotides) under Octopus vulgaris (common octopus). Lineage: Eukaryota; Metazoa; Mollusca; Cephalopoda; Octopoda; Octopodidae. The record is from RNAcentral.